Cucurbita moschata (crookneck pumpkin) is the source of this 2655-nucleotide RNA transcript. It is a transcript of the gene named UDP-glycosyltransferase 76B1-like, with no coding region annotated. The record is from RefSeq and is a predicted model, not a curated record. Lineage: Eukaryota; Viridiplantae; Streptophyta; Magnoliopsida; Cucurbitales; Cucurbitaceae. The transcript has 3 exons.
UUCAAAUGGUUGGUAGGUAGGUUUGAGAAUGAGAUAGUCAAUAUGAACAUAGUUCAUUUGGUUAUUUCGAUCAUGGUUCGGAUCAAACUAAAAGGAUAAAAAAUGGCGCGAAAAUUCCCGUUGAAACAAGAAACGAAACGUAAAGGACAUUUAUCAGUAGGAACAGAUGUGUGGUACAAUACUUGAACUUGAUGAUUAUUGAAGUUGCUAUUAAUGUCUUAAAUGUGAGCAUGAUCAAGUAGCUCAACUUCUCAAGCAAUUAGGGAAUAAAUCUGUCAUGUCAAAAAUGUGGUGAGAGAACCCUAUAAAAUAACCUAAAAGCUCUACCAAUUUAGCAGAGAAACCAUGGAGAGGAAGCAAAAAGAGAGAAAAGGGCAUUUGGUGCUUGUUCCUUGCCCUUUACCAAGCCACAUGUCUCCUAUGCUUCACUUAGCCAAACUUCUUCACUCUCAGGGUUUCUCCAUUACCAUAAUUCACACACAACUUAACUCUCCAAAUGAAUCUCAUUACCCUGAAUUCUCCUUUGAAUCCAUUGGUGGUAGCAUGUUGGAGAGCUACAGUGCCUUUGAUGGGGAUGUUAUGCUUUUUCUUUCAAAACUAAACAUGAAAUGUGAAACCCCAUUUCAUGAAUGCUUGGUAAACAUGCAAUUGCGCUGUCAAUUCAAUCCAAUCUCCUGCAUAAUAUAUGACGCUGUCAUGUAUUUUUCUGCUGCAGUUGCUGAUGAUUUGAAGCUUUUUAGAAUUGUUUUGCGGACAAGUAGCGCCGCAAACUACAUUGGGCUGUCAAUUCUUGAUGAGAGUGACUUUGUUUCAGAACGUAGAAUGGAGGAACCAGUAGCUGGAUUUCCCUUUCUGAGAAUUAAGGACAUGCCACUUUUCAGCACACAGAAACACACAAGGGAGGUUCUAACGUGUAUUUACAAUGGAACAAGAACUGCUUCAGCUAUCAUAUGGAAUUCCCUUUGGUGUCUUGAACAUGCCUUGUUUGAGAAAAUAAAAAAUGAAACCUUGGUUCCUGUCUUUCCCUUAGGGCCUCUUCAAAAGCACUGUAGCAGCUUCUCCACUAAUGUCUUAAGUGAAGAGCAGGGUUGCAUUGCUUGGUUAGAUAAACAAGCUCCAAGUUCUGUGGUGUAUGUAAGCAUUGGAAGUGUGGUUACUAUGACAGAAGAUGAACUCUUAGAAAUGGCUUGGGGGCUUGCCAAUAGUGGCCAGCCGUUCCUGUGGGUGGUGAGGGCUUGUGUAAUCAAUGGCUCAGAUGGGGUUGAGCUGUUGCCUAGAGAAUUUCAUGAGGCUACCAGAAGUCGCUGCUGGAUAGCUAGUUGGUUGCCACAGCAAAAAGUCUUAGCACACACAUCAAUUGGAUGCUUUUUGACGCAUAAUGGCUGGAACUCAACAAUUGAAAGUAUAGCAGAAGGCGUUCCGAUGCUUUGCUGGCCUCGAGUCGGGGAUCAAAGGGUGAAUGCACGGUUCGUGAGCCAUGUCUGGAGGGUUGGCUUACAGUUGGAGGACAGAUUGUUGAGAGAGGACGUUGAAAGCGCCAUUCGAACUCUCUUCAUCGACGAAAAGGGUAUCGAAAUCCAUAAGCGAGCCAAGGAGUUAAAGAAGAAGGUUGAUAUCUCCUUGAGACAAGGUGGUGCUUCAAGUGAGUUCUUAAGCAGAUUAGUUAAGUACAUUAGCCUUCAAGAGACAAUGAUAAGGUUGUCAAAUGCUUGAUUAGCCUAUGAUAAUGUAAGCUAUGAUUUCUCUUAUGUAAUUCUGCACAUGUUGAAAUGAAACAGUGAAGCACGUGGAGAAAAUAGGACAAAUGCUACUACUCAGCGUAUGCUUCCCAACAGAAAAAUGAUGAAGACAGCUCAGAUUGGCCCAUUGCUAUCUGUUGGUCUUUAGUAAUUUUAACUUUUUCAGCUGUCUGGGGGGAAUCACUUGAUGUAGCUGAAUCAUCCAAUGAGUGCUGGUGACGACUGAGUCUUGUUGAACAAUGUAAGUACUUUCUUCUAAAUGUAUUGCUUACAAACUAGACAAGGCUAGGUCUCCAAAAUCGUUAUCGUACUUAAUCGUCGUUUUCUACUACGCAUGUUUCUUGUUUCAUUGUCUGUUUAAGCCCGUUAUGUAUCGUUGUCAGCCUCGUAGUUUUUGUUUCGUUGUACUAGCCCAAGUCCAUUGUUAGUAGAUAUUGUCCGCUUUGGUCUGUUAGAUAUCGCUGUCAGCCUCACAGUUUUUGUUUCGUUGUACCAGCCCAAAUUCACCGUUAGUAGAUAUUGUCCGCUUUGGUCUGUUACAUAUUGUUGUCAGACUCACAGUUUUUCUUUCGUUGUACCAACCGAAGUAUAUCGCUAGUAGAUAUUGUCUACUUGGGGCCAUUACAUAUUGUUAUUAGUCUCAUGGUUUUAAAAUGUGUCUAUUAGGGAGAGGUUUCAAACUAGACAAGGCUAGGUCUCCAAACCCUAUCGAAGUUAAUCAUCAUUUGCUACUACGCAUGUUUCUUGUUUCGUUGUACCAGCUGAAGUCCACCGCUAGUAGAUAUUGUCCGCUUUGGUCCGUUACGUAUUGUUGUCAAUCCAUAGUCUUGUUCCGUUGUACCAGCCCAAGUCUAUCGCGAGUAGAUAUUAUCCGCUUUGGCUCAUUACGUAUUGUUGUUAGUGUCACAGUUUUAAA